This 100-nucleotide transfer RNA is filed under the name Paecilomyces variotii No. 5. Its description in RNAcentral is "Byssochlamys spectabilis No. 5 tRNA". It matches the Rfam family "tRNA". Rfam says of the family: Transfer RNA (tRNA) molecules are approximately 80 nucleotides in length. The record is from Rfam by way of RNAcentral. Lineage: Eukaryota; Fungi; Ascomycota; Eurotiomycetes; Eurotiales; Thermoascaceae.
GCCGGGCUAGCUCAAUCGGUAGAGCGUGCGGCUCUUACCAGCAGUUAAUAACUGCACUCAGGUUACCGCAAGGCUGCGGGUUCGACCCCCGCGUUCGGCU